This is a long non-coding RNA of Numida meleagris (helmeted guineafowl), 7729 nucleotides long. RefSeq lists it as uncharacterized. Lineage: Eukaryota; Metazoa; Chordata; Aves; Galliformes; Numididae. The transcript has 3 exons. The record is from RefSeq and is a predicted model, not a curated record.
UAUUUUUCCACGUCCAAGUCAAUCAUGUUAAAUUGUAUGAAAAAUAAUAUUAAUAUGCAACUAAAACAGGUUUAAAUGAAAUGUUUUACCUUACUGGAAGCAAAUUGGUUAUUGAAGUUAAAUAAAGUAAAGGCAGUUUUGCUCUUUUCCGAAUGAAUAUUGCUGAAAUUGUCAAAUUUCCAUGAAGUUGAGUUGUCUUUUAUUUAGUUGGAACACACAUAAACUGAUUAUUAACAUUGAUACUUUAGCUGAACUUUCAAACUUUUUGAUCUUCAUUUGUACAUGUAGAUAACACCAGCAACAAUUCAGCUCAGACCACAUUCAGAAAGUCACAGCCUUUUUUCCUCUUCAGCUAUCUUUCCCUCACAAAAAAAGUCACUGGCAUCUACGGAUAGCAAGUUUUUCUAACAAAAAUACGUGAACGUAUUCCUAUGACAUACCAGUGGCUGUUUAUCAUCACUUCUUUCUGGUAACAGUUACUUUGUCCAUUCUCUCAGUCAGAAUUGCACAAAGCCCCUUUUGAGUACAAUGAUACCCUGUGCUCUUGGACUUUCCUCACCUUUUCAUCCUUAUAGAUUUCUUAUUCUGAAGUAAUUAUGCAGCCUAUGGUAGGUGUUCCUUUAGACCAGGAGUACUGACAUCUUUCCCAGCUCUGCUCUACUAAAGACUAAGGAUCCUCAACUUUCUGAUACUUCCACAUUUCAUCCCUUUACCCCUUAUCCUUCCAAUCUCUGCAUUCUUUCCUCAUCUGCUUUCACAUUCAUGUGCCCAGUAUCCUUACCUCCUUCUCCUGUCGCUGUUCUGACGUUUCUCUGAUCCUAGGCUUACCCAGUUCAGUUAGCUAAACUCAGAACAAGAGAGAAUAAUGCGUUUGUUUAAAAAACUGAACCAGCUUAAUAAAAACUAGAUAAGCAAGUACAAGGGAAAGUCUUUUCCCUUCUUGUCAGGAGCCAGCUGUUUGCUUGGCUAUGUCUAACACAACUUGUGAGGCUGUGGAUGCUGAUGCACAUUUAUCAUCUUGUGAUUUGUGGGCAGCCUUCCUUCCCUCCUUUCAAUGUGCAAAGGAGAAGACACAACACAGUACCAUUCAAAGUUGGUUAGCGGGUCAUUCAGCUGUGCCUGGCAUGAGAAUUGACUGACAUUUACCUCUUCUGCCCUCUUUCACUCCCUAAAAACACACCACUGAGACCAGACAGCUAUUGUAUCUACCUUCAUUCUUUUAGAAGUCUCUGGCAUGACAAAAAAAAGUCGAGGAAAAAAAUUGGAUUUUUUUUCAUCUAUUCCUCCCUUCCACCCACAAAUCUGCUGUUUAACCCACACAUGUUCAGAUACAUUCCUAUAUACUUCUGAAAUGCUGCAGUAGACCACACUGUUAAAAAUUUAGUGAUCUUAAGUCAUAUACAACAGUAAUUUUCACCAUCUUCUCAUGCCUUAAAUUCCUUUCCAUAUAUCAAGAUGUCACAGUCUCUCUUCUCUCCCAUAAUCCAUUCUUGUUGACUAAUCUAGGUCACUGUGUUUCUCCUCCAUCCCUCCCCAGCUGCCAAAUGUCAACUUGCUGAAGGGAAUUUGGCUGUGGAGUGAUAUGUCAGUUAUGUUGUGAAAUGACUGGACUCUGAUCUUAAUUUCCAACUGGUAUAUUCAGAGAAAUUCCUAACUUCAACUUUACCCCAUUGAUAGAUCUGGCCCUGACUUGACACGUGGAAUACAUGAAACUACUCCAUAGAUAGGAGUAAAUAUAAGGACCAUCCUUCUUCUAACCAAAUAAUAUUACAGCAUGGUUUUGAUAAGCCAAGAACAAGGUAUUUGCUUCAGUCAAUUUUAAAAGAAAAGAAAAAAGCUUAGUCUCAGAGAAAUCAAGCUCUGAAUAAGAAAAUUCCCAAUUUUUAUUCCUGCUCUUCAAGAAAGUUUUCUGCCUGCAGCCUGCUGCCCAAUGACUUCCCACUCAGCCCCCUAGGUGAAGUACAGUCCAAAACAACUUACAUCUACAGCUGAACCAUGAUUCUCAUUUCAACCAAAGAUAACAUUCAGAGUAGACAUUGCAGUCGUGGUAGCUAGAUUAACCUCUUCUUUGUCAGCUCUCAAAGUGGCUGUGCAUCUCUGCAUGCUAGGUUAAGAUGAUACUGAUUACUCCCAAGAAACACAGCAAGGACAAAGGAAGCUUGUAAAGACAGCAACAUAUGCCAGGAAGAACAUUCUCUCUUCUACAGCAAAUUCUUACACUUUUUACCCUGCUAGCACAAUAACAGCUUUUUUCCUGCCUCAGCAAAAACUCUCCAUGUUCACGGAAAGCGGAAGCUAAUUUUAAACUAGGUAAGAAAAAACACCAUUACUUUUUCUCCCCCGAGCUAUUCAGUAGUACAAGUGAAGAUUAACUGGAAGACUAGGAGAAAGAAAACAUACAGGUAGUUAAGCAAUCUUAUCUUUAGAUGACCUCUGUUAACCUCAUUUGUUGCCAAAAUCAACAUAAACACAAGUUCUGCAUAUUUAGACAACAAAAACACCAUACCGGGUACUUUUAAUCUUUAUCUUGUAUCAAAUUUGCCAAGAAAAACUGGAAGCUUUGCAUGAUUUUAUGGGUGCAUUUCAAAGCUCAGUUAGAUAAUCACGCUUCAUGUACAGGAAGUUUCAGUUUCUUGUCAGGAUCAGCUGUUAUUCUCUUUACUCAAAGAAAACUUCCACAUAGCUUUGUCUAUCACCAUAAUGCCACAAAAAUUAAUACAUCUAUAGGAGAACUAACAACAUAAGUACUGGGAUACAUUUUUAGGACCUUCGCUGCCUCAGUUUUAUAGACUGAGAUGUUACUCAAUCAUAGAUUAAUUCCUUCUGAGAAUUCAAAUAUCUAUGUAAACUUUGUGUGACAAAGCUGGGAUUAUUAGCAGAAAUGCUUUAACUAUGUAGGUACAUAUAUGCUCAGGCACAUAGUAACCUUGGUGUCUGCUUACAUUUUUCAGCCUUUUGAGUACUAAGAGAAUGCAGUUCCACAUUCCUACUAUAGAAAGCCUGGCCUCAAACAGCAAGAUGCAACACCUGGAAAUACCAAGAUUCAGUCAUGAUCAGCUGCCACAGAGAUGAGUACAAUUUGUCUCACUCCAUGUCCACUGGCUGUCACUGAGCAGUUAAUUCAGUUUUGGCAGACCUCUCUGACCAUAGCCAUACAAGCAGAAAGGAGAGCAUCCUACAGCAAGUAGCAUCUAUUUCAUGGUUGCAUUUCACAUAAAGCAAUUACUGAGAUUGAAAUGUUUGGUAACAUUAUAAACAAUGUAAGAGGGAACAGCUGAAGUUAAAGAUCCCACUUCUAAUUGCUAUACCAGCAUGAGAGGUUAUUUUUAAAGAGGUACUUGACAUCCAGGUGACUUUUCACAAAGAAAAGGCAUACUGGUGCAUAUAAGAAGCCAGGAAGCUGAGAUAGUGACAAGUCUAGCUAGACAAAGCUAUACAUGGGACAGGAUGAAGGUCAGAAGGCAAGACAGAGAAGAGAAGCCUGGAAACCAAUUGAUCAAUCUACAGGACACUGUUCUGUAGACACUCGCUGGCUUGUGAAGCACGUUGUGCAACUCUCAGAAGAAGGUGACACCAGCUGGACUUAACGUUACCAGGACUACCAUCUUCCAGGAAUCAAACCAGACCCAAACUAUCCUCAAAAUAUACCAAGUCUUCCAAAUGAAACAUUAACAUAUUCUUCAUUCUGAAGAAAGUGUGCACACUUCAGAUUCAGCUAAGAAACAACUAAGGAAAAGGUGAAAGAAAACUCUCCCUGGAUCUUCCUGUGAUUUUCAGUUGCAGCUAGGUGGCCAGUUCCUCAGAUUCCAUCACCUAUAAAAAUGCAAAAAAAACCAAAUGGGUGACUACUUACCUGUUCACCAAAUGAGCUUAAGAAAAUCUGUUCAGUAUUGCGAUCACAGUCACGAUGUAGUAUCAACUAAAUAUUAGACUACAAAAUCUUUUAAUUUUCCCAGAGCACAAAUCAUGUGAGAUUGCUUACACUUCUUCUAAGAUUUAUGUUUAUUUUCUUGUACUAUGGCUUGUCAGUAAUGCACAGGUUUUAGGUUUUAGAAACAGUGCCCUGCAGUACCAAUAGGAAUUACUUCUAUGGUGCGUUGUUCCUAAUAUUUCUGUUUUUCUUGUGAAGAAAAAUCUCAUGUUCCAUAUAAGUGAUAAGUUCACUGAUAUUCUAUCAACAAGCCUGAUUUCCCAAUGGAAAAUAAUUCUCACGGAAGCACUUACUAUCAACAUCCUUGCAUGUUUUAUUUCCUCUUCCCAGUAAACUCUGCACUUACAGAAGACUGCAGCUUACCCCCUCCAGAAGCAGAUCAAAAUAACACCACUGAGAAGCUGGCACAGAAACAAAAAAAAGCAAGAAUGAACAGCUGAGGUUGGGUAAAGGAAGGGCAUAGGGAAGUAGAUGUUCAAGAGAAAGUAUGGUGAAAUGAAUGUCUGAAAACUGCUGUUUCAUAUGCUAAGCUUAGUGGGAUCCGGGAUACGUGCUGUCAUUGCUUCAGAAUAUGAACAGUUAAGUGUAAUGCACACAAAGCAGCUGCUUUAGUUGAGUUUAAGUGACCAUCCUAAUUCUAUUUAUAGAUUUUAUCUUUUGCUUAAAAAAUUUCCUGUGUCAACCUUAGUUUGUAGUUUCAAGGAACAGCAAAAUGAGUUUGAUUCUCAGAAACUGCAAAGACUGACAACGCAACCAAGUUUGUCAAAUUUUCAAUUCUCAAAUAGAAAAGAGUGCCGUAUAAAGGACUGAGUGACCUACAAUUCUUAAGCAACUCUUAAAACAAAAAUAUCAGGAAAGAGAUGAUAAACAGAGAACAGUGCAUUCAGGAAAACACUGCACUUCAGCAGUCAUUUUCACAAGUUGAAGCAUACAUCAAGUGUAUAUGAAUCUGCAAGUACAAUACACAUAGUAAUAAAGCAUUAUUGCUGCAGAUCAUAAGAUCCAGUUACAUUUUCAGAAUGUUUCGUUAGACUUUUAGUCCAUUUUCAGAAUUUCAUUAGUUUGAUUUCUCUUUAUAUGAAACAGCAGAUUCAAAGCAUCACAGAAUGUUCUCUGUAUUUUUACAUGCAUAGGAAAUCAGUAUUUUUCUCACGCUAACUGUUAGCUUCCUUUACAGAAGGGGAACAAAAAAGCAGAUCUAAGACCUAACCAAUCAACCACUGCUUGCAAGGCACAAUGAAUCAUAUACAGCCUUUGUUGGUACUUCUAACAAAGAUUUGUUAUAAUCUGAUGACCCAUAUAUCACUAGAAACCGGUGCUCAAAUAUUUAGCUGAGCUGGAAUGUCAUAGACCAAAAAAGUGAAUGAUAGUACAGUAUUGACAAGUAAAUAUGUAACAAACAUUCCAGUAACCAUCACUAUCUAAUUCUAUAGCUUUUCCUAUAACUGUUGUAAUCUAGAAAGCAAGUACAGCACAGAUUAAUGCAGUCCUAGUCUGAAAGCUUGGUUUACAAUCUCAGCAGCCAAAAGACAUAUAUAUCAACAAUGGGAGUUCUGGUUUAUCAAAUCCAAAGAUAGAUCUAUUAUGCCAAUUUUUAAAUUUUUUAUUCUUUUUUUCUUGUUUCAUCUGCAUAUAACAGUGUGGAGUGUAAUGCUGGUUUAGGAAAGUGAGAAAAAACAGGAGCAAUAGCACUAAAAAUGAAUGUUGUUUGUCGCACAAGAAGGAAUACUCCCUUUAAGGUCAGAAUUUCAAAAUCCAUCAAGCUGAAUUUCUUAAUAAAUGAUUGCAUGAAGAUGCUCUGACAGCCCCAUUUAACAUGUGCCUGGCUUUUGCAAAUGCAACAGUAUAAUUAAAGAGUAGUUUGAACAAAUGUUACAAAAGUUAGGUCAUGCAGUACCUAGAACUGGUGAGGAAAACAGACUAUUAUAGCUAAACUUCAGUUUGCUUUCUCCUUGCAUUUAUUACAUAGGUUGAGGUAUUCUUUUUAAAGAUAAAGCAUUGAAAUCCAUAUUCAAAUCCAAGACUGCUUCAUCCCUGUGAUAGGAGAGGUGAAAAGUAAUGCACUUUAUGCUCAGUAAGUGUACCUAGUGUUUUUAGGCAUGUUAAUUUUUCCUACACAUUCAAAGAAAUCUCCUUUACUAUCCAUCAAAAAGUAACAAGAAAGAUUCAGUGAUGGCUGAAUUUGACCUGAUUUCUAUCUGCUUUUUAAUAUUUGUAGAAGAGAAUCUUCUUUACUGUGAGAGUGAUGGAGCACUGGAACAGGCUGCCCAGAGAGGUAGUGGAGUCGUCUUCUCUGGAGAUAUUUGAGACCUGUCUGGAAGCCUUCCUGUGUAACCUUUUGUAGGGAACCUGCUUUAGUAGGGGGUUGGAUGUGAUGAUCUCUAGAGGUCCUUUUCAACCCCUACAGUUAUGUGAUUCUGUGUGAUAGAAUAUCUGCAGUUACACAUAGAACGUUUGAGUUGCAUUCAUUAGAACUCUCUUCAGUAAAAUUCAAGACAUUCAGUUUGAGGAACUUUCUAUCAUGAUUUUUUAAUUACAAAUAGAACUAAAAAAAUUAACAUUGUAAGAAGCAUUACCUGUGGAGCUCUAGAGCUGUGAACUAAUUCCUAGCCUGCUCAGAAUUAGGUCACUAAAACAGACAAGGUCCCCAGCAUUCUGUUUGUCCAGUACCAAAAGAAAGAAGCCAGAGACUCCUGGGAGACACUCCUUAAGCUUUUCUUGCUCUUGGCCACAAGAAUUUUCUAGUCCACAGCAUCAAUAGGAAGCAUAGGAAGUCCCUUCAUUCUUACACAGUGUAUAUAUAACCUAAUGACUGGGCUACAGUCCAAGAAGAUGGAUGAUAGGGAUUUGAAUCUCUCACAUAAGUUUUGCAUCUUGUAUACCAAGACACUCAUUCAGAUUCCUUUGGUGUAAACACAAAGGCUCAUCUGCAAGAAAACCAGAUUUGUUUCUCAGGCUUAAUGUAGUAGGUUUAGAUGUCAUCAGAACACAGGCAGACACACUGCCUUCUGCUCCUGAAACAGCUUCCUGCACCAAUCACGCAAGCUACUGGACAUAACCAGAACUGCUUGCAACAUGAGGCCAAACUCUCAAAUUUGUCACUGCAGAACGUCUGGGCAAGAGCUUCAGGAGCCUCUUUCCCUAGCAAGUGUCUUCUCUAUGGUAGUGUUUUAUACAAACAAACGUCAUUUUGUCUAAAUCAUCCUCAGAAGGCUUUAAUUAUAAGCUUAUUGCAGCUGCCUCUCUUAAAACGAAAUUUUUGCUCAGCUUUCUUAGCCAUAGAAGUAGCUCCCCUGAAGCUUAAUUUCUCCUUUUAAUCCAAUACAUCCUUCCUGUCUUAUGCAAACUAUACUAAUGUGUGGGCAUCAGGUGUUCCCUGAAAUGAUACGUACUGUUCACUAGGUGGGCAUGCAUACAUGUCCUGGUGGUACAGUUAUGAGAAUUUUAGAGGGAGGGACAAAACUAAGCUUUGCAACAAAAGACACAUACAAGGAAGAAGUUACCAUAGUCCUAUGGAGUCUGUUGCCCUGCCAUGUAGCUGAAGGUUAAACAACCAUGAAGUAACAUGAGUCAGUUUGUGGUAGAAAGAACAUAACAUUGGACACAUGGUAAACACUUUUACAUUUAGCUUUGAAGAGGCUGCUUUAAGUGAGGAGGCUUUGGUAAAUCCGUCAUAAGAACUCCUGAAACAAAGGUAUUCUGUACAUUUCAUAAGUAGUGAAAGAAGACAUGAGUGGAAAGGUUAAUUAAAGCAAAUCAAGGAUAAGAAAUUAAGAAUUCUUUUUACCAGCCAUGUGC